RNAcentral lists this ribosomal RNA (468 nucleotides) under uncultured bacterium. RNAcentral describes it as "partial 16S ribosomal RNA". It matches the Rfam family "Bacterial small subunit ribosomal RNA", at positions 28 to 507 of the family's 1533-position model. The record is from RNAcentral.
GACGAACGCUGGCGGCGUGCUUAACACAUGCAAGUCGAACGGAAAGGCCCGGCUUUUGUGGGGUGCUCGAGUGGCGAACGGGUGAGUAACACGUGAGUAAACUGCCCUUGACUGUGGGAUAACACCAGGAAACUGGGGCUAAUACCGGAUAGGAGCUCCUGAUGCAUGGUGGGGGUUGGAAAGUUUCGGCGGUUGGGGAUGGACUCGCGGCUUAUCAGCUUGUUGGUGGGGUAGUGGCUUACCAAGGCUUUGACGGGUAGCCGGCAUGAGAGGGUGACCGGCGACAUUACGACUGAGAUACGGCGCAGAAUCCUACGGGAGGCAGCAGUGGGGAGUCUUGCACAAUGGGCGGAAGCCUGAUGCGGAAACGCCGGGUGCGGGAUAACGGCCUACGGGUUGUAAACCGCUUUCGCCGGUGACGAAGAGUGAGUGACGGUAAUGGGUAAAGAAGCACCGGCUAACUACGUG